Molecule: ribosomal RNA, 1550 nt
Filed under: Klebsiella pneumoniae
Lineage: Bacteria; Pseudomonadati; Pseudomonadota; Gammaproteobacteria; Enterobacterales; Enterobacteriaceae
Description: bacterial SSU rRNA
Rfam family: Bacterial small subunit ribosomal RNA
Source: RNAcentral
AAAUUGAAGAGUUUGAUCAUGGCUCAGAUUGAACGCUGGCGGCAGGCCUAACACAUGCAAGUCGAGCGGUAGCACAGAGAGCUUGCUCUCGGGUGACGAGCAGCGGACGGGUGAGUAAUGUCUGGGAAACUGCCUGAUGGAGGGGGAUAACUACUGGAAACGGUAGCUAAUACCGCAUAAUGUCGCAAGACCAAAGUGGGGGACCUUCGGGCCUCAUGCCAUCAGAUGUGCCCAGAUGGGAUUAGCUAGUAGGUGGGGUAACGGCUCACCUAGGCGACGAUCCCUAGCUGGUCUGAGAGGAUGACCAGCCACACUGGAACUGAGACACGGUCCAGACUCCUACGGGAGGCAGCAGUGGGGAAUAUUGCACAAUGGGCGCAAGCCUGAUGCAGCCAUGCCGCGUGUGUGAAGAAGGCCUUCGGGUUGUAAAGCACUUUCAGCGGGGAGGAAGGCGAUAAGGUUAAUAACCUUGUCGAUUGACGUUACCCGCAGAAGAAGCACCGGCUAACUCCGUGCCAGCAGCCGCGGUAAUACGGAGGGUGCAAGCGUUAAUCGGAAUUACUGGGCGUAAAGCGCACGCAGGCGGUCUGUCAAGUCGGAUGUGAAAUCCCCGGGCUUAACCUGGGAACUGCAUUCGAAACUGGCAGGCUAGAGUCUUGUAGAGGGGGGUAGAAUUCCAGGUGUAGCGGUGAAAUGCGUAGAGAUCUGGAGGAAUACCGGUGGCGAAGGCGGCCCCCUGGACAAAGACUGACGCUCAGGUGCGAAAGCGUGGGGAGCAAACAGGAUUAGAUACCCUGGUAGUCCACGCCGUAAACGAUGUCGAUUUGGAGGUUGUGCCCUUGAGGCGUGGCUUCCGGAGCUAACGCGUUAAAUCGACCGCCUGGGGAGUACGGCCGCAAGGUUAAAACUCAAAUGAAUUGACGGGGGCCCGCACAAGCGGUGGAGCAUGUGGUUUAAUUCGAUGCAACGCGAAGAACCUUACCUGGUCUUGACAUCCACAGAACUUUCCAGAGAUGGAUUGGUGCCUUCGGGAACUGUGAGACAGGUGCUGCAUGGCUGUCGUCAGCUCGUGUUGUGAAAUGUUGGGUUAAGUCCCGCAACGAGCGCAACCCUUAUCCUUUGUUGCCAGCGGUUAGGCCGGGAACUCAAAGGAGACUGCCAGUGAUAAACUGGAGGAAGGUGGGGAUGACGUCAAGUCAUCAUGGCACUUACGACCAGGGCUACACACGUGCUACAAUGGCAUAUACAAAGAGAAGCGACCUCGCGAGAGCAAGCGGACCUCAUAAAGUAUGUCGUAGUCCGGAUUGGAGUCUGCAACUCGACUCCAUGAAGUCGGAAUCGCUAGUAAUCGUAGAUCAGAAUGCUACGGUGAAUACGUUCCCGGGCCUUGUACACACCGCCCGUCACACCAUGGGAGUGGGUUGCAAAAGAAGUAGGUAGCUUAACCUUCGGGAGGGCGCUUACCACUUUGUGAUUCAUGACUGGGGUGAAGUCGUAACAAGGUAACCGUAGGGGAACCUGCGGUUGGAUCACCUCCUUACCUUAAAGAA